This 662-nucleotide unclassified non-coding RNA is filed under the name Hevea brasiliensis (rubber tree). Lineage: Eukaryota; Viridiplantae; Streptophyta; Magnoliopsida; Malpighiales; Euphorbiaceae. The record is from RNAcentral.
GUGCAUGGGGAUGUAAAACCUGAAAACUUUCUUCUUGGAACCCCUGGAACUCCUGAUGAAAAAAAAUUGUUUCUUGUUGACCUUGGAUUGGCAACAAGGUGGCGUGAUGCCUCUACCGGCUUACAUGUUGAGUAUGAUCAGCGGCCUGAUGUCUUUAGGGGAACUGUAAGGUAUGCUAGUGUGCAUGCUCACCUGGGAAGGACUGGAAGCCGACGGGAUGAUUUAGAGUCACUGGCUUACACACUCAUCUUUCUUCUCCGAGGCCGGCUGCCUUGGCAGGGAUAUCAGGGAGAGAACAAAGGUUUCCUUGUCUGUAAGAAGAAGAUGGCAUCUUCUCCAGAAACUCUUUGCUGCUUCUGCCCUGCUCCGUUUAAGCAUUUUGUGGAAUAUGUUGUGAACUUGAAGUUCGACGAGGAGCCUAACUAUGCUAGGUAUAUCUCCUUAUUUGAUGGAGUAGUAGGUCCAAAUCCAGAAAUCAGGCCAAUCAACACUGACGGUGCACAGAAGCUUAUAUACCAAGUUGGGCAGAAAAGAGGAAGAUUGACAAUGGAAGAAGAAGAUGAUGAACAGCCGAAGAAGAAGGUUCGCAUGGGAAUGCCUGCGACACAAUGGAUCAGUGUUUACAAUGCUCGUCGUCCAAUGAAGCAGAGAUAUCACUAUAA